CUCAGGAUGAACGCUGGCGGCGUGCCUAAUACAUGCAAGUCGAGCGAUGAGGCUCCUUCGGGAGUACAUCAGCGGCGAACGGGUGAGUAACACGUGGGUGACUUGCCCCGAAGAUGGGGAUAACCUCUGGAAACGGGGGCUAAUACCCAAUGUGCUCGGUGAUUCGGUUCAUCGAGUAAAGCUCCGGCGCUUCGGGAGAGGCCUGCGGCCCAUCAGCUAGUUGGUAGGGUAACGGCCUACCAAGGCAGAGACGGGUAGGGGGCGUGAGAGCGCGGACCCCCACACUGGCACUGAGAUACGGGCCAGACUCCUACGGGAGGCAGCAGUAAGGGAUAUUGCGCAAUGGACGAAAGUCAGACGCAGCGACGCCGCGUGGGCGAUGAAGGCCUUCGGGCUGUAAAGCCCUUUUAUGGGGGAAGAGAAAAAGGACGGUACCCCAGGAAUAAGUCCCGGCUAACUACGUGCCAGCAGCCGCGGUAAAACGUAGGGGACAAGCGUUAUCCGGAUUCACUGGGCGUAAAGAGCGUUGAGGCGGUUCCGUAAGUUGGGCGUGAAAGCUCCGGGCUUAACUCGGAGAUGUCGUUCAAUACUGCGGGGCUUGAGGACAGCAGAGGAAGGUGGAAUUCCCGGUGUAGUGGUGAAAUGCGUAGAUAUCGGGAGGAACACCCGUGGCGAAGGCGGCCUUCUGGGCUGUUCCUGACGCUGAAGGCGAAAGCUAGGGGAGCGAACGGGAUUAGAUACCCCGGUAGUCCUAGCUGUAAACGAUGGAUGCUGGGUGUGGGGGGUGUAAAUUCCCUCUGUGCCGAAGCAAACGCGUUAAGCAUCCCGCCUGGGGACUACGGCCGCAAGGCUAAAACUCAAACGAAUUGACGGGGGCCCGCACAAGCAGCGGAGCGUGUGGUUUAAUUCGAUGCUACACGAA
This 922-nucleotide ribosomal RNA is filed under the name uncultured organism. RNAcentral's name for it is "bacterial SSU rRNA". It matches the Rfam family "Bacterial small subunit ribosomal RNA", at positions 23 to 965 of the family's 1533-position model. The record is from RNAcentral.